Molecule: non-coding RNA, 323 nt
Organism: Anas platyrhynchos (mallard)
Lineage: Eukaryota; Metazoa; Chordata; Aves; Anseriformes; Anatidae
Source: RefSeq, a predicted model, not a curated record
AUGCUUCUCUAUUUUUUCAGAAAAAUUCAUUGCUUGGAGGAGGUUGGGGAAGGAUAUUGCUGAAAGACCUGCAUAUGGGCUAGGAUGUUGUUGAAUUGCUCUAGGCACUCUGAGAUUUGCCUCAUGUGGAAGGUGACCCACAAAAAGAAACAUGAAGAAAAACCUGGUGCGAUUCUAAUGCUGAGGAAGGUCCUGGUCUCUGACUAGAGCUGACAGCAUCUCCUGAGUACCUUCAAUGUUAGCUUCUGGGGCUUGAGAUCUAUAGGUUAGGAGUAGAGACUGAAAAAGGGAAUUGAUUAUAGUACAGCUAGAUAAAAAUAAAU